RNAcentral lists this unclassified non-coding RNA (313 nucleotides) under uncultured Treponema sp. Its description in RNAcentral is "partial contains 16S ribosomal RNA, 16S-23S ribosomal RNA intergenic spacer, and 23S ribosomal RNA". The stretch from base 1 to 126 matches the Rfam family "Bacterial small subunit ribosomal RNA", at positions 1408 to 1533 of the family's 1533-position model. Lineage: Bacteria; Pseudomonadati; Spirochaetota; Spirochaetia; Treponematales; Treponemataceae. The record is from RNAcentral.
GAGUAGAGGGUACCCGAAGUCGGUAGUCUAACCGCAAGGAGGACGCCGCCGAAGGUAUGUUUUGUAAGGAGGGUGAAGUCGUAACAAGGUAGUCGUACCGGAAGGUGCGGCUGGAUCACCUCCUUUCUAAGAGAAAGGUAAAAAAAAGCUUCGCAUUUUUAACGGUCGAUUUUCUUACGAAAAUCGAGGCUAUAGAUGCACAUAAGCAGAUAAGUGUUAGAUGUACAACACGGGUCCUUUUUGAGAACCGUUACUGUUCUUUCUUUCCUCCCUUUUAUUUAUAUGGGACUGUAGCUCAGUCGGUUAGAGCACU